GCCUCAAUGGUUUAGCGGUUAGAACGCUGCUCCCCUAGAAAGAGCAGAGCCCUCGGUUCAACUCCGAGUUGGGGCG
Molecule: non-coding RNA, 76 nt
Organism: Microdochium trichocladiopsis
Lineage: Eukaryota; Fungi; Ascomycota; Sordariomycetes; Xylariales; Microdochiaceae
Source: the annotation of a RefSeq genome assembly